UUUUCGAAGAGGUAAACCCCGGGUAACCGGGGGACACAAAGCUGCGGGUCCUGUCUGCGGGCAGGACAGCCGGGUUGGCGAA
RNAcentral lists this non-coding RNA (82 nucleotides) under Geobacter pickeringii. RNAcentral's name for it is "c-di-GMP sequence". It matches the Rfam family "c-di-GMP-I riboswitch aptamer". From Rfam's summary of the family: GEMM was predicted in a large-scale screen for bacterial structured RNA regulatory elements. Genes associated with GEMM are involved in a diverse array of functions, including chemotaxis regulation, signal transduction, secretion and chitin. The record is from Rfam by way of RNAcentral. Lineage: Bacteria; Pseudomonadati; Thermodesulfobacteriota; Desulfuromonadia; Geobacterales; Geobacteraceae.